This 472-nucleotide ribosomal RNA is filed under the name uncultured bacterium. RNAcentral describes it as "partial 16S ribosomal RNA". It matches the Rfam family "Bacterial small subunit ribosomal RNA", at positions 28 to 507 of the family's 1533-position model. The record is from RNAcentral.
GACGAACGCUGGCGGCGUGCUUAACACAUGCAAGUCGAACGCUGAAGCUUGGUGCUUGCACUGGGUGGAUGAGUGGCGAACGGGUGAGUAAUACGUGAGUAACCUGCCCUUGACUCUGGGAUAAGCCUGGGAAACUGGGUCUAAUACUGGAUACGACAUGCCACUGCAUGGUGGUGUGUGGAAAGGGUUUUACUGGUUUUGGAUGGGCUCACGGCCUAUCAGCUUGUUGGUGGGGUAAUGGCCUACCAAGGCGACGACGGGUAGCCGGCCUGAGAGGGUGUCCGGCCACACUGGGACUGAGACACGGCCCAGACUCCUACGGGAGGCAGCAGUGGGGAAUAUUGCACAAUGGGCGGAAGCCUGAUGCAGCGACGCCGCGUGAGGGAUGACGGCCUUCGGGUUGUAAACCUCUUUCAGCACGGAAGAAGCGAGAGUGACGGUACGUGCAGAAGAAGCGCCGGCUAACUACGUG